GGGCGUAAUGGGUUUACCGGAUCGAUGAUUGCUAAUACAGACUGGUUAUUAGUUAUGGUUGAUAAUGGGGGAACAUAAUAAACACACACGUGAAAUAUGUCAGUGUUAUUUUGACAGGUUUUUAACAGGUUGCAGUAACUCUAGGUGGACGCUAGGUGGAGCUGGUUCCAUCUCUAACCACUGCUUCACCAGGCAGACGAUUAACCUUAACUUUUAAGCGAUCUGCAAAUUAAGCGAUUUGUGGCUUUUGUGAGAUAAUGGGUGUAUGUUUGUGCAUUCCCAGAGAACAUUAAAAGGUUGAAAUAAUGUAUACAAAAAACUUGAUUUAUUGAAUUUGAAAAUAUCCUUGAAAGUAAAUACCUACAUAAACAGAAUGACAGGUUCACCAACCACAUAAUAAUAAAAACUAUGGAUACAAGACGAUCGCUUCCAACUGAAGAUACAAACACCUCAACAAACACAAAUAAAAAUAAACAAUAACUACUCAAAGAGGGAUCUUCACAAUUAAAACAGCAAAGGCCAUGCACACAACAAUUAUUAAUGUUAGUUGUUAGAAAUGCUGGUUCCAUGAAACAUUUUUACCGUAGCAUCUAUCAUUUCUGCAAACGCUCGCAAGCGACAACUCAAAGUAUUCCUGUUCCAGUCCUGGUCGAUAUGACACACUCCCAGCCACACUACAGAAUAUCUUCAUCUCCGUAUUCUCCCGACUCUGAAGACGAUGCACCAAGGUGCCCGCUACACACAGUCUCCGUACGAAGCAGAGAGGAGGUUAGCGUACCGUGACCGUCGCUGGAUACGCAGCCGGCCGCCAUGUUGCUCCGGCACGCGCUGCGUCAGCGGGAAUCAACUCCGAUACUCUGACAGCGAGAGAGAGAGAGGGAGAGAGAGGGAGAGAGAGAGAGAGAGAGGGAGAGACGGAAAGCGAGCAGGUGAUAAAGACGGAGAGGGAGACGGUGAGAUGGCACGAAAGAGAGAAACAGAAAGACAGACAGACCGAGAGGGAUAGAGAGAAAAAGUGAUAGAUAGGGACAGUGAUUGACAGAUGGAGUGAUUGAUAGGGACAGAGUGAGAGAGAGUGAUGGAUAGAGCGGGGAACAGAGAGUGAGACAGUGAUAGUGACAGAGGGAGAGACAAAGAGAUAGAGAGAGACAGAGCAAGAGAGAGACAGAGGGUGCAUAGGAGACAGUGCCAUGGCAGGUACUGUUCUCUGGUGUUGGGUUGGGUUGGGUUGGGUGGGGGGGGGGG
Long non-coding RNA from Gadus macrocephalus (Pacific cod), 1245 nucleotides. RefSeq lists it as uncharacterized. NCBI's taxonomy places the organism in Eukaryota, Metazoa, Chordata, Actinopteri, Gadiformes, Gadidae. The record is from RefSeq and is a predicted model, not a curated record. The transcript is spliced from 2 exons.